GCGAGCGAAAAGAAAAUAGUUCAGCACUAAGUCAUUUUGCCUUAAUCGCAAAUAUGAGAUGCAGUGUAUGGAACAUCUAUAAUCUAGUAUGAAAAAUUAACGAUUUAAGUCCUUCUUAAAUGAGGCCAUUUACCCAUAGAGGGUGCCAGGCCCGUAUAACGUUAAUGAUUACUAGAAGAUGAUUCCAAAGAGUCGUGUUGCUUGAUAGUGCAGCACUAAGUGGGUGGUAAACUCCAUCUAAAGCUAAAUAUAACCAUGAGACCGAUAGUAAACAAGUACCGUGAGGGAAAGUUGAAAAGAACUCUGAAUAGAGAGUUAAAUAGUACGUGAAACUGCUUAGAGGUUAAGCCCGAUGAACCUGAAUAUCCAUUAUAGAAAAUACAACAUUAUGAAUAUAAUAUUUUAAUAAUAUUAUGGAAAUGGUGUGCAUUUUUUCUAUAUAAGGACAUUGUAAUCUAUUAACAUUAAUAUAUUUAUCAUAAAAUCAAUGAGAUUUAAGUUUAUUCAAAUUAAUAUGCAUUUUCGUAUAUUAAUAUCGAAUAAAUUCUUAUGAUUUGAUAAAGGGUUGAUAGAUUGAUUUAUAUAUAGUGCUUAAAUUCUAAUAGAAUUUUAUAAUGGCAUAAAUAUCUUAUGAUUUUUAUGUUUAUUAUAUGCGCUAAUAUGAUUAACAAUGGCGAUAGAUUCAGGAUACCUUCGGGACCCGUCUUGAAACACGGACCAAGGAGUCUAACAUAUGUGCAAGUCAUUGGGACUUAUAUUUAUUAAACCCAAAGGCAUAAUUAACUUAAAUGUAAUAUAAAUGGGAUAAGUUUUUAAUCUAUUUAUAGAUUAUUAAUUCAAUCCCGGGGCGUUCUAUAUAGUUAUGUAUAAUAAUAUUUAUAUUAUUUAUACCUCUAACUGGAGCGUACCUUGAGCAUAUAUGCUGUGACCCGAAAGAUGGUGAUCUAUACUUGAUCAGGUUGAAGUCAGGGGAAACCCUGAUGGAAGACCGAAACAGUUCUGACGUGCAAAUCGAUUGUCAGAAUUGAGUAUAGCUGCGUAAG
Molecule: ribosomal RNA, 1043 nt
Filed under: Leopoldius coronatus
Lineage: Eukaryota; Metazoa; Arthropoda; Insecta; Diptera; Conopidae
Description: eukaryotic LSU rRNA
Rfam family: Eukaryotic large subunit ribosomal RNA
Source: RNAcentral